RNAcentral lists this transfer RNA (70 nucleotides) under Dipodomys ordii (Ord's kangaroo rat). It matches the Rfam family "tRNA". Rfam says of the family: Transfer RNA (tRNA) molecules are approximately 80 nucleotides in length. Their secondary structure includes four short double-helical elements and three loops (D, anti-codon, and T loops). Further hydrogen bonds mediate the characteristic L-shaped molecular structure. tRNAs have two regions of fundamental functional importance: the anti-codon, which is responsible for specific mRNA codon recognition, and the 3' end, to which the tRNAs corresponding amino acid is attached (by aminoacyl-tRNA synthetases). tRNAs cope with the degeneracy of the genetic code in two manners: having more than one tRNA (with a specific anti-codon) for a particular amino acid; and 'wobble' base-pairing, i.e. permitting non-standard base-pairing at the 3rd anti-codon position. The record is from Rfam by way of RNAcentral. Lineage: Eukaryota; Metazoa; Chordata; Mammalia; Rodentia; Heteromyidae.
GGGAAAGUGGCUCAGUGGUAGAGUGCUUGCCUUGCAUGCAGGAGGCCCUGGGUUCGAUUCCUCAGCACCA